This 22-nucleotide non-coding RNA is filed under the name Rattus norvegicus (Norway rat). Lineage: Eukaryota; Metazoa; Chordata; Mammalia; Rodentia; Muridae. The record is from RNAcentral.
UUGAGGAGGUGAUGGAGUCGGA